UGUAGCUCAGUGAUAAGAGCACUUGUCUAGCAUGCAAGAGGUCCUGGGUUCAAUCCUAAGGGAG
This 64-nucleotide transfer RNA is filed under the name Marmota monax (woodchuck). Its description in RNAcentral is "tRNA.Ala". The stretch from base 3 to 59 matches the Rfam family "tRNA", at positions 8 to 63 of the family's 71-position model. From Rfam's summary of the family: Transfer RNA (tRNA) molecules are approximately 80 nucleotides in length. Their secondary structure includes four short double-helical elements and three loops (D, anti-codon, and T loops). The record is from RNAcentral. Lineage: Eukaryota; Metazoa; Chordata; Mammalia; Rodentia; Sciuridae.